AUCCAGCUGACGAGUCCCAAAUAGGAAGAGACGUGCGUCAAACAGGAU
Molecule: non-coding RNA, 48 nt
Filed under: Schistosoma mattheei
Lineage: Eukaryota; Metazoa; Platyhelminthes; Trematoda; Strigeidida; Schistosomatidae
Source: RNAcentral